Non-coding RNA from Cucurbita pepo subsp. pepo (vegetable marrow), 543 nucleotides. Lineage: Eukaryota; Viridiplantae; Streptophyta; Magnoliopsida; Cucurbitales; Cucurbitaceae. The record is from RefSeq and is a predicted model, not a curated record.
AAAGGAACAGGGACCAAGGCUGGAAAGUCCUUCUUAAUUGAAGAUGGAGCACUCCCAUGGAUUGUACAGAAUGCCAAAAAUGAAGCAUCGACGAUCAAACGACACAUUGAACUCGCACUCUGUCAUUUAGCACAACAUGAAGUGAAUGCAAAAGACAUGAUCAGUGGAGGUGCCCUGUGGGAACUCGUUCGGAUAUCGCGAGACUGUUCACGAGAAGACAUAAGGACUCUUGCGCAUCGAACAUUAUUAUCGAGCCCAGCAUUUCAAGCUGAAAUGAGACGAUUACGAAUAGAUUAUUGAUUGAUCUGAGGCAGUAGGCGUGACAGAAACAUGUAUGUUUAUCUAUCAGCACAAUCAUUUCUGAAUUUUUGUCAUGAAAUCAAAGUAGUGUGAGAUUUGGGUUGUAGUAGUUUAUCAAAUGGUAUUAAUUUCUCAGAGCCACUGGCCUGAUCUGUAAUUUCAAACUUAGUGUGUAAAUUUAUUUGUAUAUUAAGUGAAUAAAAGUAGUUAAUACAAAAGUUGUGGGUUUACCUUGUAAUCUUA